Molecule: ribosomal RNA, 253 nt
Filed under: uncultured bacterium
Lineage: Bacteria
Description: partial 16S ribosomal RNA
Rfam family: Bacterial small subunit ribosomal RNA
Source: RNAcentral
UACGAAGGGUGCAAGCGUUAAUCGGAAUUACUGGGCGUAAAGGGUGCGUAGGCGGUUCGUUAAGUCUGUCGUGAAAUCCCCGGGCUCAACCUGGGAAUGGCGAUGGGUACUGGCGAGCUAGAGUGUGUCAGAGGAUGGUGGAAUUCCCGGUGUAGCGGUGAAAUGCGCAGAUAUCGGGAAGAACACCCGUGGCUAGGGCGGCUCUCUAGUACGGUACUGACGCUGAGACGCGAAAGCGUGGGGAGCGAACAGG